This is a long non-coding RNA of Temnothorax curvispinosus, 494 nucleotides long. RefSeq lists it as uncharacterized. The record is from RefSeq and is a predicted model, not a curated record. Lineage: Eukaryota; Metazoa; Arthropoda; Insecta; Hymenoptera; Formicidae. The transcript has 2 exons.
AAUUAAUAACUGUAUUAUGAUACUAUUGUUACAUAAUCUUCUAUGACGAGCGUGCGGCAAAUAGCUCUCAGCUACUCGACUGUUACUGAUGUCCCUAUAACAUCCACCAAAUAUGUCUAAUGCUCUCGAGCGAUACGGAAGUGAAUUCAGAAAUGGAUUAGAUACAACGAUUAGUUACCCGUGCAUGAAACCAAAAUAUAUUCGAGAAAGAGUUGCGAAAUCGUUUAACCGUGUUUCUGCUAUGAAGAAUCAAUUAUCCAAGUCACGUUGACGAUGAGUCACGUAGAGUAAUUAAUUUUUCAAGGGCGAAAUAGAACGCAUAUAGAACGACUUCAAAACAAAAAUCAAUUGAUACGAUUAUCUAUAAAAUUGAAAAAAUACUGUAAAUUCAUAGAUAUAGAAAGUGCACGAAGAACAUUUAACAAGAAAUAUGACUAUAAUUUUUUGUAUUUGACAGUGAAACUUCACAGAGACAAAUAAAACUUUUGCACAGA